AUGAUGGGGGGUACUGCACCCAAGACAAUUCUAAUAGAUCAAUGCCGGGCUAUGGAGGUCGCCAUUAAAAAUGUGAUGCCUCAAACGGCACACCGUUGGUGCAAGUGGCAUGUGCUGAAGAAGGCAAAAGAAUCACUUGGUUCGUUGUACUCGAAGAAUAGCGAGUUCAGGAUAGAAUUCCACAAGGUAGUAAAUCACAUGCUUACAAUCGAUGAAUUUGAGGAAGCUUGGAAGAUAUUGGUGGAGAAAUAUAAUUUGAAGACCCACGACUACAUGAGGCAGCUGUAUCAUUUAUAUAAGACACAAGUGGGCGAAGCCUUAUUUUAA
This 327-nucleotide ribosomal RNA is filed under the name Triticum aestivum (bread wheat). Its description in RNAcentral is "partial small subunit ribosomal RNA". Lineage: Eukaryota; Viridiplantae; Streptophyta; Magnoliopsida; Poales; Poaceae. The record is from RNAcentral.